RNAcentral lists this ribosomal RNA (1319 nucleotides) under Myroides odoratus. Its description in RNAcentral is "bacterial SSU rRNA". It matches the Rfam family "Bacterial small subunit ribosomal RNA", at positions 82 to 1405 of the family's 1533-position model. The record is from RNAcentral. Lineage: Bacteria; Pseudomonadati; Bacteroidota; Flavobacteriia; Flavobacteriales; Flavobacteriaceae.
UGCUUUUUAGAGACCGGCGGAUGGGUGAGUAACGCGUAUGCAACCUNCCUUUUACAGGGGAAUAGCCCGGAGAAAUUCGGAUUAAUGCUCCAUGGUUUAUAGAUGUGGCAUCACGUUUAUAAUAAAGAUUUAUCGGUAAAAGAUGGGCAUGCGUAUCAUUAGCUAGUUGGUGUGGUAACGGCAUACCAAGGCGACGAUGAUUAGGGGUCCUGAGAGGGAGAUCCCCCACACUGGUACUGAGACACGGACCAGACUCCUACGGGAGGCAGCAGUGAGGAAUAUUGGUCAAUGGAGGCAACUCUGAACCAGCCAUGCCGCGUGCAGGAUGACGGUCCUAUGGAUUGUAAACUGCUUUUGUACGGGAAGAAAUGUAAUUACGAGUAAUUAUUUGACGGUACCGUAAGAAUAAGGAUCGGCUAACUCCGUGCCAGCAGCCGCGGUAAUACGGAGGAUCCGAGCGUUAUCCGGAAUUAUUGGGUUUAAAGGGUUCGUAGGCGGUUUAGUAAGUCAGUGGUGAAAUCUUGCAGCUUAACUGUAAAAUUGCCGUUGAUACUGCUAAACUUGAAUAGUAUGGAAGUAAUUAGAAUAUGUAGUGUAGCGGUGAAAUGCUUAGAUAUUACAUGGAAUACCAAUUGCGAAGGCAGAUUACUACGUACUUAUUGACGCUGAUGAACGAAAGCGUGGGUAGCGAACAGGAUUAGAUACCCUGGUAGUCCACGCCGUAAACGAUGGAUACUAGCUGUUCGGUCUUCGGAUUGAGUGGCUAAGCGAAAGUGAUAAGUAUCCCACCUGGGGAGUACGUUCGCAAGAAUGAAACUCAAAGGAAUUGACGGGGGCCCGCACAAGCGGUGGAGCAUGUGGUUUAAUUCGAUGAUACGCGAGGAACCUUACCAAGGCUUAAAUGUAGAUUGACAGGUUUAGAGAUAGACUUUCCUUCGGGCAAUUUACAAGGUGCUGCAUGGUUGUCGUCAGCUCGUGCCGUGAGGUGUCAGGUUAAGUCCUAUAACGAGCGCAACCCCUAUUGUUAGUUGCCAGCGGGUCAUGCCGGGAACUCUAACAAGACUGCCGGUGCAAACCGUGAGGAAGGUGGGGAUGACGUCAAAUCAUCACGGCCCUUACGUCUUGGGCUACACACGUGCUACAAUGGCCAGUACAGAAAGCAGCUACCAGGCAACUGGAUGCGAAUCUCAAAAGCUGGUCUCAGUUCGGAUUGGAGUCUGCAACUCGACUCUAUGAAGCUGGAAUCGCUAGUAAUCGGAUAUCAGCCAUGAUCCGGUGAAUACGUUCCCGGGCCUUGUACACACCGCCCGUCAAGCCAU